This 415-nucleotide ribosomal RNA is filed under the name uncultured prokaryote. Its description in RNAcentral is "bacterial SSU rRNA". It matches the Rfam family "Bacterial small subunit ribosomal RNA", at positions 505 to 918 of the family's 1533-position model. The record is from RNAcentral.
GUGUCAGCAGCCGCGGUAAUACAGAGGGUGCGAGCGUUGUCCGGAAUCACUGGGCGUAAAGGGCGCGUAGGCGGCCUGGUAAGUCGGAGGUGAAACGCUGCGGCUCAACCGCAGCACUGCCUUCGAGACUGUCAGGCUUGAGCACGGUAGAGGCUGGUGGAAUUCCCGGUGUAGCGGUGGAAUGCGUAGAGAUCGGGAAGAACAUCGGUGGCGAAGGCGGCCAGCUGGGCCGUUGCUGACGCUGAGGCGCGACAGCGUGGGGAGCAAACAGGAUUAGAUACCCUGGUAGUCCACGCCGUAAACGAUGGGUACUAGGCGUCGGGGGGAGCGACCCCCUCGGUGCCGUCGCUAACGCAGUAAGUACCCCGCCUGGGGAGUACGGUCGCAAGACUGAAACUUAAAUGAAUUGACGGGG